AUUGAACGCUGGCGGCAUGCCUUACACAUGCAAGUCGAACGGCAGCACGGGAGCAAUCCUGGUGGCGAGUGGCGAACGGGUGAGUAAAGUAUCGGAACGUGCCCAGUCGUGGGAGAUAACGUAGCGAAAGUUACGCUAACACCGCAUACGAUCUAUGGAUGAAAGCGGGGGAUCGCAAGACCUCGCGCGAUUGGAGCGGCCGAUAUCAGAUUAGGUAGUUGGUGGGGUAAAGGCUCACCAAGCCGACGAUCUGUAGCUGGUCUGAGAGGACGAACAGCCACACUGGGACUGGGACACGGCCCAGACUCCUACGGGAGGCAGCAGUGGGGAAUUUUGGACAAUGGGCGAAAGCCUGAUCCAGCCAUGCCGCGUGCAGGAUGAAGGCCUUCGGGUUGUAAACUGCUUUUGUACGGAACGAAAAGGUUUGGGCUAAUAAGCUGAGCUCAUGACGGUACCGUAAGAAUAAGCACCGGCUAACUACGUGCCAGCCGCCGCAGUAA
Molecule: ribosomal RNA, 500 nt
Filed under: uncultured bacterium
Lineage: Bacteria
Description: partial 16S ribosomal RNA
Rfam family: Bacterial small subunit ribosomal RNA
Source: RNAcentral